GUUCUGCAGCUGUCUCAUUUGCGCAUUGGAAGGGGUUUUCUUCAGCCAAAACCAAUGCUUGCAGGGUUUUCCAGCCCUUUAUGGAGAAUUUGAUUCCCUCUUGGAGCAGCAUGGACUUCAGAUUAAGAGUUAUUUUAUAAAUGGACAUACCCAACGAAGGGACUGAAGAAGGAAGGAUUCUCCGUGGACAACAUUCUGAGAGCAGUACUGAAUCUUUCUACAUAGAGGAGGGCAAAGACUUCAGUUGUUGCUGCAGACUCUCCCAGAACAUCUCUAUUGAUACUGAAGAAUUCAGUGUAACCUGGCUUUAUGUUUGAAGUAU
Molecule: long non-coding RNA, 322 nt
Organism: Strigops habroptila (Kakapo)
Lineage: Eukaryota; Metazoa; Chordata; Aves; Psittaciformes; Psittacidae
Exons: 3
Source: RefSeq, a predicted model, not a curated record